UUGAACGCUGGCGGCAUGCUUUACACAUGCAAGUCGAACGGCAGCGCGGGCUUCGGCCUGGCGGCGAGUGGCGAACGGGUGAGUAAUGCAUCGGAACGUGCCCAGUAGUGGGGGAUAGCCCGGCGAAAGCCGGAUUAAUACCGCAUACGACCUGAGGGUGAAAGCGGGGGACCGAAAGGCCUCGCGCUAUUGGAGCGGCCGAUGUCGGAUUAGCUAGUUGGUGGGGUAAAGGCUUACCAAGGCGACGAUCCGUAGCUGGUCUGAGAGGACGACCAGCCACACUGGGACUGAGACACGGCCCAGACUCCUACGGGAGGCAGCAGUGGGGAAUUUUGGACAAUGGGGGCAACCCUGAUCCAGCCAUGCUGCGUGCGGGAAGAAGGCCUUCGGGUUGUAAACCGCUUUUGUUCGGGAAGAAAUCCUCUGGGCUAAUACCCCGGGGGGAUGACGGUACCGGAAGAAUAAGCACCGGCUAACUACGUG
RNAcentral lists this ribosomal RNA (483 nucleotides) under uncultured bacterium. RNAcentral's name for it is "partial 16S ribosomal RNA". It matches the Rfam family "Bacterial small subunit ribosomal RNA", at positions 29 to 507 of the family's 1533-position model. The record is from RNAcentral.